UGCAUAGCUCAGUUGCUUAGAGCAUGGUGCUGAUAAUGCCAAGGUCACAGGUUUGAUCCCCUCAUGGGACAA
This is a non-coding RNA of Podarcis lilfordi (Lilford's wall lizard), 72 nucleotides long. The record is from the annotation of a GenBank genome assembly. NCBI's taxonomy places the organism in Eukaryota, Metazoa, Chordata, Lepidosauria, Squamata, Lacertidae.